CGCUCCCUUUGCGCACACACACGGUUUCCACACGUCUAUCUGUUUCUGUUUAAGUGUGAGAUAACGAUGGGCGGGUGCUUCCACAGAAGAGGUAGGAGGCGCCGACUGCCGAGAAGCAGCGUGAAAGCAAAGCGCCAAGAGAGCUAUGUGCGUGCGUGUGCGUGUGUGUGUUGUGCGUGUGUGUGCGUGCGUGAGUGUGCGUGCAUGUGUGUAUGUGCGUGCGUGAGUGUGCGUGCGUGUGCGUGCGUGAGUGUGCGUGUGUGUGUGUGUGUGUGUGCGUGCGUGCGUGAGUGUGCGUGCGUGUGCGUGCGUGAGUGUGCGUGUGUGUGUGUGUGUGUGUGCGUGUGCGUGUAUCUGCGGGGGGAUGAAGGCGGUGAGGCCUUCCGAACCCUUAACAAGAACAAACCCCACAAGGACCUGUUCUCUGUGAAUGACAGAAAGUGUUGCUUAGUUUCAGUGGAAUCGCAUUUGACACCGCUUGCUGAGCGCACACAGAUGAGUCACAGCGAUAAAGCCAGUUGAAAAGUUUGCAGUGACAGGGUGUUAUUUUACUGCAACAUAAAACAGAGUUUUUGCACGUGGUUAUGUGGCCCGGGGCCGCCACUUCCUGGAGCCGUGUUGUCAUCAGCUUCCUCCUUCUUGGAACGACUCUGCCAGGAAAGAGAGUUUUGCCCUUUUUAAAAAAUUGUUCCUG
Gasterosteus aculeatus aculeatus (three-spined stickleback) is the source of this 694-nucleotide long non-coding RNA. NCBI's taxonomy places the organism in Eukaryota, Metazoa, Chordata, Actinopteri, Perciformes, Gasterosteidae. The record is from Ensembl.